Molecule: long non-coding RNA, 711 nt
Organism: Felis catus (domestic cat)
Lineage: Eukaryota; Metazoa; Chordata; Mammalia; Carnivora; Felidae
Exons: 2
Source: RefSeq, a predicted model, not a curated record
UGUGAGAGAGCAGAGGGGUGUGCGUACAACUCUAACAGAGCAGGCAUGAUCAUCUAUCUGUGCCCUGAUGUUUGUCAUAUGUCACUGCCUUGCUUAGGGUUCAGGAGAGUCCUCCAUGUACUGGGAAAGUUGUUAAGUGCUCCUGGCUACAUGCCAACAUUUCUCCCAGCGCUAUACAAGCUGAGAAGGCUAAUUAUAAUCUACAUAAGAUAUUUUCAUCUCAAGAACCUGCUUACCAUCCAUCCUGAAACCAGAGGCACCAAGCAUGUACAAGGACAAGUUCAUGUGUGGCCAUGAAGCUGUGCUCUCAACAUUCUUCAGCCACGCACAGCGUUGCUGGAGCAUGAAUUAUGACCAGCCUGGCAGGCAAGCAUCUUUCCACAAGCACAUCUUUUCUCAUUUGCGGUCACGGUCGUACCUCCAAUGGAGUUGCCGGGGUGAAAGAGCUCAGUAUUGGAAAACACUGGCAGCUUCUGCGUCUGCUGACCAAUCCCUUGCCGGAGAGUUUACCAGGCAGUUAAUUUAUGUUCUUUUCUCAACGCCAAGAUGAACAGGGGUUUUCUCUCCUUCCUGCUUGGUUGCAAACAUAGGGAAGUCCUGCUGCUGCUGACCUAACCCACUUAGGAUUCCGCUUUCAAGCACUAUUUCCAUUGUGCUAUAUUUGAACAAUAAAUUAUUGUUCAUCCUUUUUAAAAAUGGUGAACAACUUCC